CCCGACCUUAGCUCAGUUGGUAGAGCGGAGGACUGUAGUUGGUAACAUGCCAAAUAGCCAUCCUUAGGUCACUGGUUCGAAUCCGGUAGGUCGGAU
RNAcentral lists this transfer RNA (96 nucleotides) under Medicago truncatula (barrel medic). RNAcentral's name for it is "tRNA gene41721". It matches the Rfam family "tRNA". Rfam says of the family: Transfer RNA (tRNA) molecules are approximately 80 nucleotides in length. Their secondary structure includes four short double-helical elements and three loops (D, anti-codon, and T loops). Lineage: Eukaryota; Viridiplantae; Streptophyta; Magnoliopsida; Fabales; Fabaceae. The record is from RNAcentral.